UACGAAUUGUGCGAACGUUAUUCGGAAUCACUGGGCUUAAAGGGUGCGUAGGCGGUUCUCUAAGUCAGGUGUGAAAUCUCUCGGCUCAACCGGGAAACUGCGCCUGAUACUGGAUGGCUUGAGUUUGGGAGAGGGAUGCGGAAUUCCAGGUGUAGCGGUGAAAUGCGUAGAUAUCUGGAGGAACACCGGUGGCGAAGGCGGCAUCCUGGACCAACACUGACACUGAGGAGCGAAAGCCAGGGGAGCAAACGGG
RNAcentral lists this ribosomal RNA (253 nucleotides) under uncultured prokaryote. RNAcentral describes it as "partial 16S ribosomal RNA". It matches the Rfam family "Bacterial small subunit ribosomal RNA", at positions 524 to 776 of the family's 1533-position model. The record is from RNAcentral.